This 1553-nucleotide long non-coding RNA is filed under the name Linum usitatissimum (flax). Its description in RNAcentral is "long non-coding RNA (LUSI_LNC003883)". Lineage: Eukaryota; Viridiplantae; Streptophyta; Magnoliopsida; Malpighiales; Linaceae. The record is from RNAcentral.
CCAAUUUUCGAGCCAAUUUUCAUCUACUGAACUGAAUUGGCUUUGUCUCUUCAUCCUAGGGGUUACUUGCCAUGGCUGGUUCGUGGAAUACAUAAACAAUGAUGGUGAGGAGGACAUUUAACACAAUAGCAAACCUAAUACACAACAAUCUUAUUCAUACAUUCUAUAGAACACAAUUCCAAAGCUCAGAAGCUCAGAUUUACUCCAUCUCACGCAAAAUACGAAGUAGCAUCAUCUCAGAGGCUUCAAUCUGCAGUGUAUAUAUGUGUUAAACGUCCUUUGGAAGUCAAAAACAAUGAUAGAUAAACUGAACAUAAUCUGUAAACCAUGAGGAAGAAGAUAUCUAAUGACGUAAUGAUAGUUACCGGUGUCACUAUUAUGGAAUAAACAACCAAUAUACUUGAUAAAAUAACCCAACUUACAUGAUAAGAACAUAUGCAAAUAGCUUAUAUCUCAUUAGGUUGGCUGUAUCCAGGAGAUCACUAUCUUUAGAAAAAUCCUAAUGAAAAAAAUUGGGACAAAAGCUUCAAACUUCGGUAGGGAGAAUAGUUGCCUCCGUCGUUUCGUCCUUCUGACUUUCAAGGUAGAUUAAAGUAGCUUGUGGUAUGAUUUGGUGGAGGACAACUAAGCAGAAGCCGACGGCCGCCGACUGUGGUGGAGAGUAACGCCAUCGUGGGUUAGAAACAGGGGGAAAUUUUCUGACUCGCUAGUUUUUGUUUUUUGCUGUUAACCUAGUUUUGGAUUUUCAUCCGUUAAAUUGGUAUAUUAAAAAGUGGGCUGAAAUUAAGAUUCAAUAACUCCGUUCUACAUGUCUGACGUGGACAUAUGUUGAAUUCAUCGCCGUUAUGUCUGUUUUACGAGUCUAUUAUGACUUUGUUAUAUGAGUUUAUAAUGUCAUUAUUAAGUCCUUUUUAGACAGAUUAUGACAUUGUUAUGUCAAUAAAGACUUAUUCAUUACAUUAAUCAUGUUAACUUUAUGAAUCAAUUAUGCCAUUGUUAUCUCUAUUUUAUGAAUAAGUUAUGUAGCUUUUAUGUCCAAUUGAUGUCAAGAACGAAGUGAGCUUAAAAUCAUCAAAGGUAUACACAUGGUGACACGUACUUUACUGAUCCCCUGUACUGAUCUAAAAAGGUUAAAUCAUUACAAUCAUUUUCUAAAAAACAACAACGACUAGUUGUAUAUCACAACUGUUAUAACUAUUUUAUAAGUAUUAUGUGAGUAAUAUGUCAACUUUAUGAGAAUACAAUAAUUUUUACAUCAUAUGAAUAUAAUAUAUAAAUACAAAACACCUUUAUGAGUCUAUUGUUAUAUUUAUGUUAUGUCUAUUUUAAAAAUCGAUUAUACAGUCAAAAGCAAUAAAAGUUGAAUAAAUUUGGACCGUCGAUAGCUCAUUAAAGUUCCCAAAUCUUGGUAAUACCUAGACAAAAUAGGUCUGGAUAUAAAACAACAUCAGAUCUAAAAAAUAAACACAAAUCUAAAUACAAUAUGGUUGAAAAUGAGAUUUACCUAGUAAAAGCCUCCGCCAAUGCCGUCUUUGUUACCGUGAACACCGCCU